RNAcentral lists this ribosomal RNA (616 nucleotides) under fungal endophyte. RNAcentral describes it as "eukaryotic LSU rRNA". The stretch from base 205 to 358 matches the Rfam family "5.8S ribosomal RNA". Lineage: Eukaryota; Fungi. The record is from RNAcentral.
GGAUCAUUAAUGAAUUUUAUGGCGGAAUUGUAGCUGGCCCCAACCGGGCAUGUGCACAUUCUGUUCAUUCCAUUCUCAUACACCUCUGUGCACUUUACAUAGGUUUGGUAUAGAAAAGGUCUUUAUUGACUUUGGAAAUACUGACCUAUGCUUUUAUAAACGCUUCAGUUUUAGAAUGUCAUCCGCGUAUAACGCAAUAAAUACAACUUUCAGCAACGGAUCUCUUGGCUCUCGCAUCGAUGAAGAACGCAGCGAAAUGCGAUAAGUAAUGUGAAUUGCAGAAUUCAGUGAAUCAUCGAAUCUUUGAACGCAUCUUGCGCCCUUUGGUAUUCCGAAGGGCAUGCCUGUUUGAGUGUCAUGGUAUUCUCAAUACCCCAAAUCUUUGCGGAUAAGGGUGUGUUGGACUUGGAGGUUUUUGCAGGUAAUGAUUGUAUUACCAGCUCCUCUUAAAUGCAUUAGCAGAGAUAAUACUGCUACUCUCCAGUGUGAUAAUUGUCUACACUGUUAGUAGUGCGGUAUAACAAAAUGUCUAUGCUUCUAAUCGUCUUCGGACAACUUUUGACAAUCUGACCUCAAAUCAGGUAGGACUACCCGCUGAACUUAAGCAUAUCAAUAA